GCAGACACAUGACUGAGGGUCAGAGGGGGAGGUACAGCCCUCUCCUUACAGAUCGUCACCUGAACUAAGACACUCAGCCUUCUGCAGACAGCAAGCUCAUCCUCUCAGGCCCCUUUACAGAGCUCACUGGGCCCUCAGAGUGACUUGGAUCUCAGAGGAAGAAGUGUGACCCCAGUCUCCAAGCCCAUUCUCAUUCUAUCACUUCCUGUGUUUCUCCACAGACCCAGUGGCUCAGCCUUUUGUCCAGGCCAACAAUGCCACAGUCACAGAACAUAAGGACUCUGUGGUCCUUACCUGCUCCACAAAUAAUCCUGGGGUCUCCAUCAACUGGUUCUUCAAUGGUCAGAGUCCAAAGGUCAUGGAGAGGAUGAAGCUGUCCCAGGACAACAGCACCCUCACCAUAGACCUUGUCAGGAGGGAGGAUGCAGGGAAUUACCAGUGUGAGGUGUCCAACCCAAUCAGUUGCAGCAAAAGUGACCCCAUCAGGCUGGAUGUGAGCUCUCUGUGGCCUUCACUGAUUUCCUGAAGCCAUACUCGGAUGCUCAUUUUGCACAGUGGAGAUGACACCUGGCCCCCUCAUGGGCAGGGAAGCAGCAGAUAAGAGUUUAGAUGGAAGCAGCACCACAGGUCUCCCUCUGUGGUCCAUCAUUGGCAUUGCAGUCAGGGUCCUGGUCGGACAGGCACUGACAGUGGCCCUGGGUUGUCUCCUGCUCCUCAUAAGGACUGGAAGGUAUGAUGGAGUUUCGUACACACUGAUCCUGUCCUGCAGCUGCCCGCCGGCCAGGACGGGAUCCUGACCUAGGAUUCUGGGCUGGCUUUUUCAGCCCUCCCAAAAGCCCCUGGAUUUUCCCUCUCAUUCCCCUGGCUCUUUCCUCACCAGUUGCUGACUGGGGUGCUUCUUUCACAUGUUCCUCAAUUAUAAAUUAGAGACAAUUAAGGAACAGCUCCUCAAGGUUUUCCUGGUUCACUUGGCAACCCUACAGCCGUGCCAACAGGACUAAGUACUCAGUAAAUGGCACCUCCCGUGGUGUACUUAAGUCCACACGCCCUGCGAGGGGGAUUUGCAGCCUCAGGAUCUGAGGGGGGUCCUGGUCAGGGUCACGCAAUGGAGAGUGGGAGUGCGUGACAGGCCAGGUGGCAUCAUCCUCCAAAUGGAAGCUGCAGGAACCACAGUCUCUGAUGUGUGAGACCAGAGACCUGGGUUCGGCCAGGUAGAGGCCCUGGGAUGUCCUUUAUGCCUCUUGUCCAGGCAGAUGGAGAAGAGGACAGGCCACUGUCACAUUUCAGCAUUUCCUGCCUGAGUAGGUAAGGGUCUGGCCACAGCAGGGGCACCACAUUUAGGGAUCCAACAUACCCAGGGCUCCCCAAGCGUCCUGCACACACAGCUGCAGCCUGGACCCUUCCACUCGGUCAACCCCUCAUGUUUGAUUCCUUUCCUGGGUCCUCCAUCCCUUUUCAGAACACUUUCUUCUAGAUGCCCAUCAUCUUGAGGGUCUUCCCCUCUGGGCUCCAAUGGCCUUUCCUUAUCCCUUCUCCUGGGCCCUUCCUCUGCUAAACAGCACUGGUGGAGAGAGGUGGUCUCUAACCCCUGCCUGGAAUGAGGAUCCUGCUUAUCCCCUGUGCAAAUACCAAAGCUGUGACCUCUCCCUGCACCCCUCACACAUAAGCCUGAUCAUUCUUAGGGCCAGUGGCUGGUGUGAUCUCAGAGUACUCUGGCACCAGGCAUCCACCCCCCGUGAGUACCCUUCAGUCUGGGUGGACUGGGAGCCCUGUAGUUCUGCCCCACAUUGUCCACAACUGGCAGUCAACCCCCUGGAGACUCUGACCCUUUCUCUGUAGCUUCAGUACAGGGCAUCCCAAAUGACUAUACACACUGAAGUCUGGAAUCUAGGUCAUAGGUCAGCACCUUGACCUCACUGGCCCAAAAAUGGCCAGUGAGUCUCUCCCUGGGAGGUACUCCUUCUCCCUGGUUCGCUGAGAGCAGUGGGCCUGUCCUCUCCUGGGAGGAUGGGCCCAAGCUUCUCCACAGCCCUGGUGCUAACA
Molecule: long non-coding RNA, 2043 nt
Organism: Ailuropoda melanoleuca (giant panda)
Lineage: Eukaryota; Metazoa; Chordata; Mammalia; Carnivora; Ursidae
Exons: 3
Source: RefSeq, a predicted model, not a curated record